ACGGUCCUAAGGUAGCGAAAUUCCUUGUCGGGUAAGUUCCGACCUGCACGAAUGGCGUAACGAUCUCCACACUGUCUCGGCCAGAGACUCGGUGAAAUUGCAGUCGCGGUGAAAAUUCCGUGUACCCGCAGAAAGACGGAAAGACCCUGUGCACCUUUACUAUAGCUUGACAUUGGAUUUUGGGCCUGCAUGUGUAGGAUAGGUGGGAGGCUGUGAACCCUGUACGCCAGUAUGGGGGGAGCCAUCCUUGAAAUACCACCCUUGCAUGUUUAAGAUCCUAACUUCUUCCGGUUAUCCCGGAGAAAGACAGUGUCUGGCGGGUAGUUUGACUGGGGCGGUCGCCUCCUAAAGUGUAACGGAGGCAUGCAAAGGUUCCCUCAGCCUGAUCGGAAACCAGGCGCUGAGUGCAAACGCAUAAGGGAGCUUGACUGUAAGAGAGACAUCUCGAACAGGAACGAAAGUUGGCGUUAGUGAUCCGGUGGUCCCGAAUGGAAGGGCCAUCGCUCAUUGGAUAAAAGGUACGCCGGGGAUAACAGGCUGAUCGCAUCCAAGAGUUCACAUCGACGAUGCGGUUUGGCACCUCGAUGUCGGCUCAUCACAUCCUGGGGCUGAAGCAGGUCCCAAGGGUACGGCUGUUCGCCGUUUAAAGUGGUACGCGAGCUGGGUUUAAAACGUCGUGAGACAGUUUGGUCCCUAUCUUCUGUGGGCGAAGGAGAAUUGAGAGGGCCUGUCCCUAGUACGAGAGGACCGGGAUGGACGCACCCCUGGUGAUCCUGUUGUCGCGCCAGCGGCAUAGCAGGGUAGCUAUGUGCGGAAGGGAUAACCGCUGAAAGCAUCUAAGCGGGAAGCCUGCCUCAAGAUAAGUUCUCCCCUCGAAAGAGCUGAAGGGCCCGGGUAGACUACCCGGUCGAUAGGCUGGAGGUGUAAGCACGGCGACGUGCUCAGCUGACCAGUACUAAUAGCCCGAGCGGCUUAUUUUU
RNAcentral lists this ribosomal RNA (980 nucleotides) under human gut metagenome. RNAcentral describes it as "bacterial LSU rRNA". It matches the Rfam family "Bacterial large subunit ribosomal RNA", at positions 1945 to 2925 of the family's 2925-position model. The record is from RNAcentral.